This 1480-nucleotide ribosomal RNA is filed under the name Enterococcus faecalis. RNAcentral describes it as "bacterial SSU rRNA". It matches the Rfam family "Bacterial small subunit ribosomal RNA". Lineage: Bacteria; Bacillati; Bacillota; Bacilli; Lactobacillales; Enterococcaceae. The record is from RNAcentral.
GGCUCAGGACGAACGCUGGCGGCGUGCCUAAUACAUGCAAGUCGAACGCUUCUUUCCUCCCGAGUGCUUGCACUCAAUUGGAAAGAGGAGUGGCGGACGGGUGAGUAACACGUGGGUAACCUACCCAUCAGAGGGGGAUAACACUUGGAAACAGGUGCUAAUACCGCAUAACAGUUUAUGCCGCAUGGCAUAAGAGUGAAAGGCGCUUUCGGGUGUCGCUGAUGGAUGGACCCGCGGUGCAUUAGCUAGUUGGUGAGGUAACGGCUCACCAAGGCCACGAUGCAUAGCCGACCUGAGAGGGUGAUCGGCCACACUGGGACUGAGACACGGCCCAGACCGGGAGGCAGCAGUAGGGAAUCUUCGGCAAUGGACGAAAGUCUGACCGAGCAACGCCGCGUGAGUGAAGAAGGUUUUCGGAUCGUAAAACUCUGUUGUUAGAGAAGAACAAGGACGUUAGUAACUGAACGUCCCCUGACGGUAUCUAACCAGAAAGCCACGGCUAACUACGUGCCAGCAGCCGCGGUAAUACGUAGGUGGCAAGCGUUGUCCGGAUUUAUUGGGCGUAAAGCGAGCGCAGGCGGUUUCUUAAGUCUGAUGUGAAAGCCCCCGGCUCAACCGGGGAGGGUCAUUGGAAACUGGGAGACUUGAGUGCAGAAGAGGAGAGUGGAAUUCCAUGUGUAGCGGUGAAAUGCGUAGAUAUAUGGAGGAACACCAGUGGCGAGCUCUCUGGUCUGUAACUGACGCUGAGGCUCGAAAGCGUGGGGAGCAAACAGGAUUAGAUACCCUGGUAGUCCACGCCGUAAACGAUGAGUGCUAAGUGUUGGAGGGUUUCCGCCCUUCAGUGCUGCAGCAAACGCAUUAAGCACUCCGCCUGGGGAGUACGACCGCAAGGUUGAAACUCAAAGGAAUUGACGGGGGCCCGCACAAGCGGUGGAGCAUGUGGUUUAAUUCGAAGCAACGCGAAGAACCUUACCAGGUCUUGACAUCCUUUGACCACUCUAGAGAUAGAGCUUUCCCUUCGGGGACAAAGUGACAGGUGGUGCAUGGUUGUCGUCAGCUCGUGUCGUGAGAUGUUGGGUUAAGUCCCGCAACGAGCGCAACCCUUAUUGUUAGUUGCCAUCAUUUAGUUGGGCACUCUAGCGAGACUGCCGGUGACAAACCGGAGGAAGGUGGGGAUGACGUCAAAUCAUCAUGCCCCUUAUGACCUGGGCUACACACGUGCUACAAUGGGAAGUACAACGAGUCGCUAGACCGCGAGGUCAUGCAAAUCUCUUAAAGCUUCUCUCAGUUCGGAUUGCAGGCUGCAACUCGCCUGAGCCGGAAUCGCUAGUAAUCGCGGAUCAGCACGCCGCGGUGAAUACGUUCCCGGGCCUUGUACACACCGCCCGUCACACCACGAGAGUUUGUAACACCCGAAGUCGACCUUUUUGGAGCCAGCCGCCUAAGGUGGGAUAGAUGAUUGGGGUGAAGUCGUAACAAC